UAAUAAUUUAAUUACUUUAUUUUUUAAUUUGAUCUUUUUUAAAAAAUAUUUUUGUUUUUAGUAUUUAGAAUAAAAAUUAGGUUUUUAGUGAUAUAAUAUUUGUACCGUGAGGGUAUUUUGAAAUAUUUUGAAAUAUUUAUUUUUAUAAAAGUAUAUUUUAUUUGUAUUACCUUUUGUAUCAGGGUUGAUCAACUUUACUUAAUUUAUUUUAAAUUCUCGAUUUCAGAAGAGCUACUAAUAAUUUAAUUUAUUUAGUGUUAUAUAACUAUUAAAAAUAUUUAUUAGGAGAGAAAUUCUAUUCGUUUAUAAUGGUAUCUAGUUUUUUAAGAAAUAAAUUUAAUUUAACUUUAAUUUUUCUUUUUCUUCUUUAUUAGACUUAGAUUAAUUAAAUUAAAAUUAAUAGGGGAUAAGCUCUAUUUAUUUUUAUAAUAUUAAUUGUUUUGUUUAUAGUAGGAUUAUAAUCUUCCAUCUUUUUAUCACGUUAUAGUGUAUUUCAAUUUAUUUUUGAUUUUAUUUUAUUUAAUUAAAUAUUAAAAUUUUCUAAUUAAUUUAGGAUUAGAAGUAAUAAUGAUUAAAUUAGUAUAUUAUUUUUUGUUUGGUGUUUAUUUUAUGUGUUUUAUCAAUAAGGAACUCGGCAAAUUUUGUGUUCGCCUGUUUAUCAAAAACAUGGCCUCUUGCUUAUUUUGGAGGUCUGACCUGCCCAGUGAAAAUUUUUAACGGCCNCGGUAUUUUGACCGUGCAAAGGUAGCAUAAUCAUUAGUCUUUUAAUAGGGGGCUGGAAUGAAAGGUUUAACGAAUCAUUAGCUGUCUCAUUUUUAUAAUUUAAAACUUAAUUUUUAAGUUAAAAAGCUUAAAUGUUGUUGGAGGACGAGAAGACCCUAUAGAGCUUUAUAUUAAUUUUUUUAAUAAAAUGUUGAUUUAUAUCUUAGGUAUUAAAAUAACUUAUUAUUUUGUUGGGGUGACAAAAAUAAAUAAUUAACUGUUUUAUUGUUUAAACAUAAAUUUAUGAGUUUUUGAUCCAUUAUUAUUGAUUAUUAGAUUAAGUUACCUUAGGGAUAACAGCGUAAUCUUUUUUUGGAGUUCAAAUUUACAAAAAGGCUUGCGACCUCGAUGUUGGAUUAAGAUUAUAAUCUGGUGCAGUAGCUAGAUUAAUAGGUCUGUUCGACCUUUAAAUUCUUACA
Molecule: ribosomal RNA, 1181 nt
Filed under: Platycnemis latipes
Lineage: Eukaryota; Metazoa; Arthropoda; Insecta; Odonata; Platycnemididae
Description: partial 16S ribosomal RNA
Source: RNAcentral